Bombus pascuorum is the source of this 1200-nucleotide long non-coding RNA. RefSeq lists it as uncharacterized. Lineage: Eukaryota; Metazoa; Arthropoda; Insecta; Hymenoptera; Apidae. The record is from RefSeq and is a predicted model, not a curated record. The transcript is spliced from 3 exons.
UCGCGAGCCGCGAGCCGUGUCGUACUGUUUAGAUGCGCGCGCAGCUUCGCCUGACUUCACUCCCUUUGCACCUGUCGCGUUCAACUUCGCGCCUCAGCAACGCGACACGGCUGGCUUUCGCGUGGGGUCUUCCUCGACCACCGUUAACCUCAUCGUACCGCGAGUCAAGUUUACUGCCCGUCGUAUUAAACUCUACAACAUGAGGGAUAGUUGCGUCUACACGUCACCUGUUACCGUGUGACGCAUCAUGAGACACAAUUUUCAUGCGAAUGUUGUCGCAGUGUGUCGUCGAUCAGGGAACGUUUGAAUCGGUGCAAUCGUUUGAGCGGUAACAUUCGAAGCUCGAGGAAUCUCCUUGUCCGAAGUGAACUGUGACAGAGUUAAAUUGCGAUAGCCGGCGGUGGUUAUGUGUGCGUGUGUGAGAUCAGAAUUCAGGAGAAUUCAGGGAAUGGGCCACAAGUGCAGCGAAACUGUCAAGUACAGUCGGCUGUUGUGCAACUAAGUGCAUCAGCUGGUCAUCGAGGUUGUCGAACAAACGUAAUUGGCGUCGUCAUCACUCAUGAAGACUUCAAGUUUACCGAAUUACGGAACAUCUAGACAAUCGGGAGGUUAUCGAACGCCGAAUUGCCACGUCGUCUAGGGAUAAAAAUGGGAACACGAGCGAUCUACAGGAACCUCGUGCAGAAAGACAUCGCCCUUACCGACGACAUGGAGUCGCUAUCAUUAAAAUCAGACACGGAGUCUUCGAUUCAGCCAUUGUCCGCACGAUCAACGGAAUCUCCUCUACCGGAAGCAUACGUGCUCAGUUAGUAACAUUUCUACUUCCACUAGAUUUUGCAAAUACUAACAAUUAUCACUCGAACAUAUAUUUAAACGUAUACAAUUAACAAAUUUUUAAUACAGCGCCAUGUUAUCGAUGCAUGUUGUAUCAUCAUCGUACUAGUUUUUAUUCUUAUAUUUAAAGUACAAAUGCCAUAUAACUCAUUUGAAAUUGCAUUUCUUAAAAUCAAUCGCGCUAUGUAAUUCACUAAAUCGGAUAACAUAUUCAACAUAAGAUAUUUUAUCUUCUUAAUCCUAUACCUCAAGAAAUUAAGGAAUUCUGCAAACAUAUUAAUUUCAAUAUAAAAAUAUCUCUUCGAACAAGAUGCAUUUCAUCAUCAUCAUGCAAGGAUCAUAUGAUUUGUAAAUUUAAAUUUUGUA